Molecule: ribosomal RNA, 253 nt
Filed under: uncultured bacterium
Lineage: Bacteria
Description: partial 16S ribosomal RNA
Rfam family: Bacterial small subunit ribosomal RNA
Source: RNAcentral
UACGUAGGGUGCGAGCGUUGUCCGGAAUUACUGGGCGUAAAGAGCUCGUAGGUGGUUUGUCGCGUUGUUCGUGAAAUCUCACGGCUUAACUGUGAGCGUGCGGGCGAUACGGGCAGACUGGAGUACUGCAGGGGAGACUGGAAUUCCUGGUGUAGCGGUGAAAUGCGCAGAUAUCAGGAAGAAUAUCCGUGGCGAAGGCGGCUCUCUGGUACGGCACUGACGCUGAGACGCGAAAGCGUGGGGAGCGAACAGG